GAUGAACGCUGGCGGCGUGCUUAGCACAUGCAAGUCGAACGAAGCAUUUACGACAGAUUUCUUCGGAUUGAAGUUGUUUAUGACUGAGUGGCGGACGGGUGAGUAACGCGUGGGUAACCUGCCUUGUACUGGGGGAUAGCAGCUGGAAACGGCUGGUAAUACCGCAUAAGCGCACAAUGUUGCAUGACAUGGUGUGAAAAACUCCGGUGGUAUAAGAUGGACCCGCGUCUGAUUAGCUAGUUGGUGAGAUAACAGCCCACCAAGGCGACGAUCAGUAGCCGACCUGAGAGGGUGACCGGCCACAUUGGGACUGAGACACGGCCCAGACUCCUACGGGAGGCAGCAGUGGGGAAUAUUGCACAAUGGAGGAAACUCUGAUGCAGCGACGCCGCGUGAGUGAAGAAGUAAUUCGUUAUGUAAAGCUCUAUCAGCAGGGAAGAUAGUGACGGUACCUGACUAAGAAGCUCCGGCUAAAUACGUGCCAGCAGCCGCGGUAA
Molecule: ribosomal RNA, 497 nt
Filed under: uncultured bacterium
Lineage: Bacteria
Description: partial 16S ribosomal RNA
Rfam family: Bacterial small subunit ribosomal RNA
Source: RNAcentral